GGAGGGUAUAGCUCAGUGGUAGAGCAUGUGCCUAGCAUGCAUGAGGUCCUGGGUUCAAUUCCCAGUACCUCCA
Molecule: transfer RNA, 73 nt
Filed under: Vicugna pacos (alpaca)
Lineage: Eukaryota; Metazoa; Chordata; Mammalia; Artiodactyla; Camelidae
Description: tRNA-Ala (AGC) (tRNA-Ala-AGC-780-1)
Rfam family: tRNA
About the family: Transfer RNA (tRNA) molecules are approximately 80 nucleotides in length.
Source: RNAcentral